RNAcentral lists this ribosomal RNA (443 nucleotides) under uncultured bacterium. RNAcentral's name for it is "SSU rRNA". It matches the Rfam family "Bacterial small subunit ribosomal RNA", at positions 26 to 518 of the family's 1533-position model. The record is from RNAcentral.
AGAGCGAACGCUGGCGGCAGGCCUAACACAUGCAAGUCGAGCGCCCCGCAAGGGGAGCGGCAGACGGGAGAGUAACACGUGGGAACGUACCCUUUGGUUCGGAACAACACAGGGAAACUUGUGCUAAUACCGGAUAAGCCCUUACGGGGAAAGAUUUAUCGCCAAAGGAUCGGCCCGCGUCUGAUUAGCUUGUUGGUGAGGUAACGGCUCACCAAGGCUACGAUCAGUAGCUGGUCUGAGAGGAUGAUCAGCCUCACUGGGACUGAGACACGGCCCAGACUCCUACGGGAGGCAGCAGUGGGGAAUAUUGGACAAUGGGCGCAAGCCUGAUCCAGCCAUGCCGCGUGGAUGAUGAAGGCCCUAGGGUUGUAAACUCCUUUCGAUCGGGAAGAUAAUGACGGUACCGAGAGAAGAGCCCCGGCUAACUUCGUGCCAGCAGCCGC